Long non-coding RNA from Mastomys coucha (southern multimammate mouse), 2545 nucleotides. RefSeq lists it as uncharacterized. The record is from RefSeq and is a predicted model, not a curated record. The transcript is spliced from 2 exons. Lineage: Eukaryota; Metazoa; Chordata; Mammalia; Rodentia; Muridae.
UAACAGUUGGUCAGAGAGGUCGUUCAAGGGGCACAGUUUGCUUCGAUUCCACCACAGACCCUCAUGUGGCCCGGCUUCUCAUUCCAAGCAAUGUCCCUCCCUGGAGAAACGGACUCUGCCUGAGCACUUCUGUCUUGAGCUGAUAAGGUUGCUGGAGGACACUCUGGGAUUUUAUCUUAGGUUCCCAGCGUCCAGCAGUGCAGCAUCCAUGUAGACUUCCGUUGUCCUGCCAGAGUUCCAGGAAACUAGGCAGAAUGGAAAGUUCCAGGGCCCCCAAUGUGCCCACCCCACAAGUACACUGUGGACCAACACUGUAUGCCUCUGUUCUGGCAUGAAGGGUGUAAUUAAUUCCCUGGUGACUCCUACUGAGAAUGAAUAGCACCGGAAGUGCAAAAUAAAGCCGUAUUCCUUGGUCUAAGGGAGAAGCAAGGACCAGCGUCAGCAAUUUUUCCUUCCACAAUGGUGAAACAGUGCUAUCUGGGACUGAGGGAAAAUGACAACAAACAAUUCGACCUUGCACUUACUUCAAGAUCCUCUACCCAGCACUGCGUUAAAAGCUCCAUUUCGGCACUCAGAUUAAAGCACUGCUGCUCAAAACAAAGCCUUGCCAACUUGGCUCCAGGGAAGGAGCAGCCACUGGAACAAUGCAGGCAAUUUAAUCGUGUUGCAGAGAGAAGUAAGCCAGAGUCUGGAGGCUCUACCGGAAUGGAAUACAAUUCCCUUGUCCCAAUAGGAAGAAUGAAAGUGGGGCUGAGGUGGGCAAAAGACAACAUCCAAAAUGGCAUAAAAAUUAACCACCCAACUCAAUGAAUUACCCACGAGAUAAUGGGAUAAAUGUUUGUGAGUUAGACCGAAGAGCAAAAACACAACAGGAAGAAAGAAUUCAGAACUGUAGGCUGAAGCCUUUUUUCUUUGUUCUGUGUAGCAAAAUUUCAGUCUCUCUCUUUGCACUUAAGUUCAUGUUUUAAAACUUGGUUGUUCUCUAUGGAAUUGAAGCCUGUGUAAAUCAUUGUGUCUAGAUGUAUUUCAAAUGCUCUUCUCUCUAUUAUCACUCAAACUCAUAGUUAUUCAGUUUGACCUGAAAUUAAAGAACAGAAUAGUUUCAUGCUUUAAAAUUACUUCCCACUAUUUUAUAGUGAUAAAAACAAAUUAUGAAAAAAAAUCUUAGAUAUAAGCCAAGUUAGAGUUCAUAAUUAAGAUUACCAGAAUAAAAAAAAAACAUACUCAUAUGUCUGCUCCCCUAUUUCUCAUCCUAAAUAUGUUUUUUUGGGGGGGCAAUUUAGUUAAUAAUGAAAUGUUUAUUGUCCAUGUUGUAGUAAAAAUUACUUGGAAGUUUCUACCCCAUCCUUGAUCAUAUUGUUCCCAAAUAAAUGACACAACCCUUUAUAUUUAUAAUAAGCUUUAGAGUACCAGAGCCGCCAGAUAUCAACUCUCUAUGGUAUUUUAUCUACUUCCCUAUCACCAAAUCUGAGCUAUCACCUGCUAUGUUCCCUUUGGUCCUCUCCAACUCCAACUGACCAGCCUCAUGGCUGUGCUCUCACGCUCCACCUACCUGAUGUCAUCUUCUCCUGUCUUCUCCUCUCUCCUCUUCUCAUGAUCUCUGCCUCAGGCCCCAAGCCUGCGAACCGAAGCUCUGCCUACCUCUCUUCUGCGCAGCUAUAGGCCAUAGGCUUCUUUAUUCAACCAAUAGUUUUAAAUUAAGGAGCAAGGUUGCAUAUGAAGAACUGCUUGUCAGGGGCAGCCACAUCUUGAGAAGCUAGUAUUUAGCUUUAGAAUGUAGGCAGCAUCAGACUAACCCCCAUUACAGUCCAUUCUACCUAUGAUGAUAUGAGGAACAAUGAUUAAGGCAGCCUGUAUUCGAUUUGUUAGGCCGUGGUAGCAUGGGUUGAUGGCUCAAUGGUUAAGAGCGCUUGCUAGUCUUCCAGAGGACCCGAGUUCGUGUUUCAGCACCCAUGUCAGACUGAUCAUAACUACCUGAGACUCCAGCUCCAGGGGAUCUGAUGUCCUCUUCUGGCAUCUGCACACACAUGAGGCAUACAACCCAUGUUGUGGGACACACCUAAAAGUAACUAAAAAGAAAAAAAAAAUCCUUUAAAAAGAAAAACUCAUGGCUGAUAUAAACUUUGAAUUUUAAUAUAAAACUUCGUCUCUACUAUUUCUUGGCGAUUCAAUUAAGUCUUGAAGGAAGAUGGAUGUCAUGUUAGCUAAUGACUUCUGACUCGGAGCAUCUUGUGACUAACAGCUGUCAAGGAGAGAAAGUCUACUAAAUGAGGCUAAGGAAUGAAUGUGACAAAAACAUUAAGGCAUCCCAGAGAAAGCAGGCUGCAAAGUGAUAAUAAUGAAUAUGAUAUUUUCCUUUUACAUAGAAACAAUAACCUCUCACCUCCUACACCCUUCACAGAUGAAGAACCUAAUUGGCCUUGGAGAGAGUAUGUACUCAGCGUAGUGUCAGAAUAGCAGGUGGUUGGAAAUGUGUUAAACAGCAUACUAAUUAGAUUGGUGUCCAUGCAUUUCCAAAUAUUUAAAUCUUAUUAAAUGAUUAAUU